GAUGAACGCUGGCGGCGUGCCUAAUACAUGCAAGUCGAGCGAACGGACGAGAAGCUUGCUUCUCUGAUGUUAGCGGCGGACGGGUGAGUAACACGUGGAUAACCUACUUAUAAGACUGGGAUAACUUCGGGAAACCGUAGCUAAUACCGGAUAAUAUUUUGAACCGCAUGGUUCAAAAGUGAAAGACGGUCUUGCUGUCACUUAUAGAUGGAUCCGCGCUGCAUUAGCUAGUUGGUAAGGUAACGGCUUACCAAGGCAACGAUGCAUAGCCGACCUGAGAGGGUGAUCGGCCACACUGGAACUGAGACACGGUCCAGACUCCUACGGGAGGCAGCAGUAGGGAAUCUUCCGCAAUGGGCGAAAGCCUGACGGAGCAACGCCGCGUGAGUGAUGAAGGUCUUCGGAUCGUAAAGCUCUGUUAUUAGGGAAGAACAGAUGUGUAAGUAACUGUGCACAUCUUGACGGUACCUAAUCAGAAAGCCACGGCUAACUACGUG
RNAcentral lists this ribosomal RNA (497 nucleotides) under uncultured bacterium. Its description in RNAcentral is "partial 16S ribosomal RNA". It matches the Rfam family "Bacterial small subunit ribosomal RNA", at positions 28 to 507 of the family's 1533-position model. The record is from RNAcentral.